Molecule: non-coding RNA, 786 nt
Organism: Malus domestica (apple)
Lineage: Eukaryota; Viridiplantae; Streptophyta; Magnoliopsida; Rosales; Rosaceae
Source: RefSeq, a predicted model, not a curated record
CUAGGUCAUGUGCCAACAAGACGAUGCUCCUGCAUCCGCGAUUUGUUUCGACACACACUUCUCAAAAUUUGCGGGAUGCUAUGAUGAUAUUUUCUAUGAUGUAAACAAAUUAACUAUUUAAUGUCAAUAGUUUGUGUUAUAUAAAGCUACGCAUGUUAGGAGUAAAGUAAUUUAUUAUUUGUUCUUAGCCCCUGGUUUAUAAAUCCCAACUUUAAAAUUCCCAGUGGAUGUGUCUGUUAAUCGAUUGCGUUUGGGAUAGAAAUUUGUGUGUUUUAUUUAUUUAUUUAUUCGGGUUUUUGUAGCUGAUGCUGAUACAUAUUAGGUUUUGUGUUACUGGGUUUUAUCACUAAUUAAUUGUCAAUUGGAUUUUCCGGUUUCAAAAAUAGGUGAGGCGUCGACUAAUCAGCUGGCUGAUCAGCAGAUGCCAGUGUAUAAUCUUGCAUCGAAGAUUCUUUGUUGGGUUAUCAAUGUAUUAUUGAAGGCUGAACCAGACACUGAAGAAUUAUUUGCACAACUCACUUUACUUCCCAAAUCAAAUGGAGGCUUGAUUGAUAGUGACGCUUUAACCCACAAGAGGAAUGUUAAUACCACAACGCAGUUCAAGUUGGGCCACUGGUGACUUUUCUGCUUAAAUGGAUUCAUCAACUCAAUUUUGUCGUUAAUUUUUGUUUUGAGUCCAUUUUCCUUGAUGAUGUUGUAUUAGGAUUUUAAGCUUAGUCGUUCAGGCGUGACACAUUUUCAGUGGGAAGUCACAAGCAUAAUUCAUUUUUCUUAAAUUAGACUCAA